Molecule: unclassified non-coding RNA, 343 nt
Filed under: soil metagenome
Description: partial contains 5.8S ribosomal RNA, internal transcribed spacer 2, and large subunit ribosomal RNA
Rfam family: 5.8S ribosomal RNA (bases 1-120)
Source: RNAcentral
GAUGAAGAACGCAGCAAAAUGCGAUAAGUAAUGUGAAUUGCAGAAUCCAGUGAAUCAUCGAAUCUUUGAACGCACAUUGCGCCCGCCAGCAUUCUGGCGGGCAUGCCUGUUCGAGCGUCAUUUCAACCCUCGACCUCCCUUUGGGGAAGUCGGCGUUGGGGACCGGCAGCACACCGCCGGCCCUGAAAUGGAGUGGCGGCCCGUCCGCGGCGACCUCUGCGUAGUAAACCAACUCGCACCGGAACCCCGACGUGGCCACGCCGUAAAACACCCAACUUCUGAACGUUGACCUCGAAUCAGGUAGGACUACCCGCUGAACUUAAGCAUAUCAAUAAGCGGAGGA